AUGCGUCUUGUGGGGCAGGGACAGCCUUGGGUGGGCCCCAGCGUGCCCCAGCCGGCCGCUCCCCUGGGAUUCAGAAGAAUCUUUGUCUUAAAUUGGGGAUGCCAGAGGCUUUUAGCUGGGUGCUGCGUCAGCGUCGGCUUCAAUGGGUGCGUUGCAACUGGGGGCAGAGCGGGAGGAACCGUUCCCUCUGUGGCCCCGUCCUGCAGCGGGGGGCUGCCACAAACCUCUGCCAGCACCACGGGGACGGCGUGGGGACGCUCCCGUGCCAGCCGCCCUGGGGCUGGGCCCCUCCCUCUGUUUUCUGGGCCGUGUCAGCGCCCGUGCCCGCGGGUUUGUUCAAGCCGAGGACGGGCGGGUGCUGAUGGAGCAGCUCCAGGAGCGGGGCUGCAGACGCCAGCGGGGACUGCUCCGUUCCGGCCGCUGCUCCGCGCCGCAGCCGCUCCGCUUUGUCCUCUCCGCUUUGUCCUCUCCGCAGUAACGCGGAGCUCCCGGAUCUCGUCCCCUCGGGGAGCCCGGGGCGCCGAGGUUGGUGGCGAGGCCCGGCGAUGGCUGCGGCGUCUCCCGGUCGCCGGGCUCGGUGCGCGGUGUUGGUCGGAGCGAAGAGCAGCGCCCACCGCUGCGCGCUCCCGGUGCGGGGUCACGCCUCGCGGUGACACUGUCCCCUCGCUGCAGCCCCAGGGGCCGAGGUUUCCCUCGCGUCGUUCCAAGAGCUCUGCGCCGAGUGCGGGGCAUCCCCCGGCGGGAGACGCUGCGGGAGCGGUGCGCGGGGCGUGGGACGCACGGGGGGGUCCGCCUGUCCCUGCUGCCGGUGCUGGGGGGGAGGGGAGCAAGAGCCGGGGUCCCCCCCGUUCCGCCGGGGCCGUUUCCCCUUUGGGGACGGUGCGGCAGCUGAAACGCUCCGUUGGGCCGCGGUGGUCCCGGCGCAACACCCCCGUGCCGGGGGUCCCCUCCAUCGGCCCGGGUUUUUCCUCCCCCCACCCAGGACAGAGGCUGCAAAACCCGGGGGGUGCGGGGCACGGGGAGAGGAUGGAGCCCCCCCCCCCCCCC
This 1047-nucleotide long non-coding RNA is filed under the name Numida meleagris (helmeted guineafowl). RNAcentral's name for it is "lncRNA (ENSNMEG00000003318.1)". Lineage: Eukaryota; Metazoa; Chordata; Aves; Galliformes; Numididae. The record is from RNAcentral.